GGUGGUGAAGUCACCAGAUUGUCACCCCGGGGGACGUGUGUUCGAAUCCCACCACCACCA
RNAcentral lists this transfer RNA (60 nucleotides) under Echinostoma caproni. It matches the Rfam family "tRNA". Rfam says of the family: Transfer RNA (tRNA) molecules are approximately 80 nucleotides in length. Lineage: Eukaryota; Metazoa; Platyhelminthes; Trematoda; Plagiorchiida; Echinostomatidae. The record is from Rfam by way of RNAcentral.